This is a long non-coding RNA of Paramormyrops kingsleyae, 1370 nucleotides long. RefSeq lists it as uncharacterized. The record is from RefSeq and is a predicted model, not a curated record. NCBI's taxonomy places the organism in Eukaryota, Metazoa, Chordata, Actinopteri, Osteoglossiformes, Mormyridae.
UCUCGACCAAUCAGAAAUGAAUAGGCCGAGUAGCACCAUGGCCUAGCCGUCUUGCAACCUACAAUGAGGCGUAGUUGCAUAAUGGAGGAAGAACUGGACAAAGCGUUUCCGGCAGGGUUUGAACAUGUGCAUGGAGAUUAAGCUUGCUGGCACAGAUUUUUUUUCUUUUUAAUAUAUCUAUCACUAUUUUAUGUGAUGUAAAAGCAUUAUCCUGUGUAAUAUUUGCAUUCCUUGGUGAGCAGAGCGGGUUUUCACGGUGCUGAACGACACUGAAAGGUUUAACCUCGCUUCAGCUGUGCUGUGCUGAUCAACGAUGGAUAAAUUACGAGACACUUUUUAAGCACCAGUCCAGACACUCAUUUCGGAUUCCAAGGACCGUUACGUAUAUCGUAACGUCGCAAUAGGCUAUUGGGACAAAGUUGUGGUGGAGAUCCAAGAUAAUUUCAGUUCUGGGCGAAGGGCUGCGUGCAUGAUCUCCAGUUCUCAAGCAAAGACCACCUACAUAAAGGGAAAAUGGCACCAUCAUCCCUUUCCAAACCUGACCCACUGCACUCGAGAUGUCUGACUUUUCAUCGCUCGACAUAAAUACUGGAAUGUUUUGGACCAGUACUGAACAUUACGCUCUGAAUGCUGACUGGGAAUAUCACUAAAGCAGACCCUUAUGAAUGCCGGCUGUGAACUUAGUACUGCAAAAAUGGGCAGGACAUCUCAGGAAAGAGGGCAGGAAAGUGUCACAUCUUUUCAAUCCUGGUGUCCUGUACUCCAAUAAAAGCCUGCGUAUGCUGAAUCAAAUUAAGCUGGGUGGACAACACAACAGUGCUGUACAAGAAAGUCAGAGCAAACUGCUUUCUAAGGAGAGACUGGUCUUUUGAACUGUGCAGCAAGAUGCUGUACAUGUUUCGUCAGUUGGUUAUAGCUAGUGCUGGCUAUAGUCAGUCAUAAUUGAUGGUGUGGGAGCAUUUUGGUUUCCCAGUAGUGGAGACCGUAAUUAAGUCCAAGGUGGUUUGCGAACUAGAAUUUGAAGCUAGAAACCUAUCCAGUGUGCUAACAAUUUUUUGUCCAGAGCAAGGCAUAAACAGACACUACCUGUGGUAUUUAUGGAGCUUUUGCCAGGAAAUUCAGGCCAGGCUAGAAAAAUAACUAGUUAUAGGGCUAUGUAUUGCUACAACUAUGUAACCGUACUUAGUAGUAGAGAACCCAGAAUUUAAUUCAUUAUGAUGGCCAUGAUGUAGUCUUACUAAUUAUUUUACAUAUUCUUGCCAUGUGCAAAUAAGGUUUUGUUAUUCAAACACAUCAAGACGCAUUACCUUUGGUUGUACAUUGUUCCUGAUUGUUUGUACUUUUAAAAAUAAAUUUCAAAACAAAUUGUU